AGACGGUAGAGAGACAGACAGACAGAGAGACAGACGGGUAGAGAGACAGACGGGUAGAGAGACAGACGGGUAGAGAGACAGACAGGUAGAGAGACAGACGGUAGAGAGACAGACGGGUAGAGAGACAGACGGUAGAGAGACAGACGGUAGAGAGACAGACGGGUAGAGACAGACGGGUAGAGACAGACGGGUAGAGAGGCAGACGGGUAGAGAGGCAGACGGGUAGAGAGGCAGACGGGUAGAGAGGCAGACGGGUAGAGGCAGACGGGUAGAGAGGCAGACGGGUAGAGACAGACGGGUAGAGAGGCAGACGGGUAGAGAGGCAGACAGGUAGA
Molecule: long non-coding RNA, 335 nt
Organism: Pseudoliparis swirei
Lineage: Eukaryota; Metazoa; Chordata; Actinopteri; Perciformes; Liparidae
Exons: 3
Source: RefSeq, a predicted model, not a curated record